UACAGAGGGUGCGAACGUUGUUCGGAAUCACUGGGCAUAAAGCGCUCGUAGGCGGCACCGCAAGUGUGGGGUGAAAUCCCACGGCUUACCCGUGGAACUGCCUGGCAGACUGCGGUGCUAGAGGUUGGUAGGGGAGAGCGGAACUCUUGGUGGAGCGGUGAAAUGCGUAGAUAUCAAGAGGAACACCGGUGGCGAAGGCGGCUCUCUGGUCCAAUCCUGACGCUGAGGAGCGAAAGCUAGGGGAGCAAACGGG
RNAcentral lists this ribosomal RNA (253 nucleotides) under uncultured bacterium. Its description in RNAcentral is "partial 16S ribosomal RNA". It matches the Rfam family "Bacterial small subunit ribosomal RNA", at positions 524 to 776 of the family's 1533-position model. The record is from RNAcentral.